CCCUUAGAUGUCCUGGGCGGCCCGCGCGCUACAAUGUCAGCUACUGAAGGUUAAUGCUUUGAAAGAGAGCGCGCUCUCCUUUUAAUUGCUCGCAUGCUGGGAUAAAUGAAUGCAAUUUUGUUUUGAACGAGGAAUUCCUAGUAGCCAUGUUUCACUAGAAGAUGGCGAAUGCGUCCCUGCCCUUUGUACACACCGCCCGUCGCACCUACCGAUUGAAUGGUCCGGUGAAGCCUCGGGAUUGUGGUUAGUUUCCUUCAUUGGAAGUUAGCCGCGAGAACUUGUCUAAACCUUAUCAUUUAGAGGAAGGUGAAGUCGUAACA
This 320-nucleotide ribosomal RNA is filed under the name uncultured eukaryote. Its description in RNAcentral is "partial 18S ribosomal RNA". It matches the Rfam family "Eukaryotic small subunit ribosomal RNA", at positions 1470 to 1796 of the family's 1831-position model. The record is from RNAcentral.